Molecule: ribosomal RNA, 38 nt
Filed under: Tricholoma terreum
Lineage: Eukaryota; Fungi; Basidiomycota; Agaricomycetes; Agaricales; Tricholomataceae
Description: partial 18S ribosomal RNA
Source: RNAcentral
AGUUGGAACAGUUCCGAAGUGAACCGCGAAAGGUCAUA